GGACCCUACGGGAGGUAGCAGUGAGGAAUAUUGGUCAAUGGGAGAGAUCCUGAACCAGCCAAGCCGCGUGAGGGAAGACGGCCCUAUGGGUUGUAAACCUCUUUUGUCGGAGAACAAAACCCGGGACGUGUCCCGGACUGCGUGUAUCCGAAGAAAAAGCAUCGGGUAACUCCGUGCCCGCAGCCGCGGUAAUACGGAGGAUGCGAGCGUUAUCCGGAUUUAUUGGGUUUAAAGGGUGCGUAGGCGGUCCGUUAAGUCAGCGGUAAAAUUGCGGGGCUCAACCCCUCCGAGCCGUUGAAACUGGG
Molecule: ribosomal RNA, 305 nt
Filed under: uncultured bacterium
Lineage: Bacteria
Description: bacterial SSU rRNA
Rfam family: Bacterial small subunit ribosomal RNA
Source: RNAcentral